Molecule: ribosomal RNA, 399 nt
Filed under: uncultured bacterium
Lineage: Bacteria
Description: bacterial SSU rRNA
Rfam family: Bacterial small subunit ribosomal RNA
Source: RNAcentral
UAGCGGCGGACGGGUGAGUAACGCGUGAGCAACCUGUCCUUCACAGGGGGAUAACACAGCGAAAGUUGUACUAAUACCGCAUAAGACCACGGAGGGGCAUCCCUGAGGGGUCAAAGGAGGAAUCCGGUGAAGGGUGGGCUCGCGUCCGAUUAGAUAGUUGGUGAGUAACGGCCACCAAGUCAACGAUCGGUAGCCGACCUGAGAGGGUGAUCGGCCACAUUGGGACUGAGACACGGCCCAAACUCCUACGGGAGGCAGCAGGUGGGGAAUAUUGGGCAAUGGGGGAACCCUGACCCAGCAACGCCGCGUGAGGGAAGAAGGUUUUCGGAUCGUAAACCUCUGUCCUUGGUGAAGAGAAGGAGACGGUAGCCAAGGAGGAAGCCCGGCUAACUACGUGCC